This 1543-nucleotide long non-coding RNA is filed under the name Malus domestica (apple). RNAcentral's name for it is "long non-coding RNA (MDOM_LNC004476)". Lineage: Eukaryota; Viridiplantae; Streptophyta; Magnoliopsida; Rosales; Rosaceae. The record is from RNAcentral.
UUGACUCUGUAUAAACUGAAACGUCUUUUCCAAAUGAUUAAGCCAACGCUCUGCUCCCUCAAGUCCUUCAUUUUCCAUUUAAUGAUUCAGCUUCAAUUUAUACACAGUCUCAAGAGGAAUCCUUUGGGUAAUAGACUGAAUCAUAUUAGCAAUAACUUCACCUAACUAAAAUAUAUCAGGGAAAUUAAGCUCAUCUGAACGAUGUGGCUCUCUACGAGGCGGUAUAGUUAUGACAGAAGACACUAGAAAAUUAUCAAGAUAUAUAGGACUGCAACCUAGUCUCUGAUACCAACUGACACACCCCGUCCCGAAGGAGGGCGUGUUGGCCGUCACGUGCAAGUGACGUAACCAUUUGUGCAGUGCGGAAGUUAAAAAGAUAAAUAGAAUUACGAAUAAAUAAAAGUUGAAACACUAGCAAUACUAGCUAAGAAAUGAUGCUAGUGCGAAACUCAGUGUAUAAAUACACAUUUGGAGUAAAAAGAACGUCUAGUUACAGUCGAGUAGGACAAUUACUAAGAUAUAACACCCGUAGGUAAAUCCUACUUUAGUGAAUUCUGUCAGGACACCGUUGGAUUCCUCGUGGCCACCAAACUCAGCUAAUUAGAACUUGGAGGGGCAAAAAACAAAGUUGAGUGGGUCAGUAAAACAAAUCUUUUUCAAAAAAACCUUUUCUCUUUUCAAAGGUUCUAACCCCUCGCCGUAAAACCUGUAACUUUCCCAGGAAUAUAAAAAUAUGAUUACUUAUCUCAAAACCAGCUCAAAAAUAGUGAUAUGUAAAGUAUAUGCCAUGUCAAAUAUAUUUCAUCAUAUCAUAUAAGUAUAUCAGUGAAGUAAGUUCAUCAUGAAUAACAACAUAUCAACCGAAUGAUCAGCCCGACUGAAACUAUAGCUCAUAAUCAAUCUCAUCAAUCAAUCUAGUCGGAGUCACCACAAGUGACCUGUAUGGCACUACACUGCACACAAAUCGGAACCAUUGAAAUGAUUUGUACGACAGAACUGGGUGUAAUAUAGUUAUGCUCACGCUAUCCUCUCCUGAUAGUUAUGCGAUAAAUCGUUAGUCACCUACGAGUAGUCUGUACGACAAGACUGGGUACCUAAAUUGGAUCCAAUGUGAGCAUAUGGUGCGGGGGUGACAAAAUAUAUUUACAGGCCUGAAUCACAUCUCUACUAAAUCAUAAUCACCCUAGUACAAGUUUAUAAGCUUUCAAUCACAUCAACUCAACAGUCUCAUAAUUUUAAUUUAUGAACUUACCUGGCACUUACCUGUACGUCCGCAUCACCAAUCAUGCAUGUAUGCAAUUAUUAAUGCAUAAAUAAAAUAGAUAUAUAUUUUACAUGGCAUUUCAUAAUGCAUUUCAUAUCACAUUUCACUUAAAUUGACUUUCUGGGAAAAAUCUCAUUUAUAUAGGUAUAUACGGAAAACAAAACUGCCCACUCACCUUUGCCCACUCCGUUAAUCGGAUUCCUGAUCCGUAAGUUCCUAUAAUCCUCAAAUAUUACGUACUACUACGUAUCAUAGUUUGGUGACGAUCCGAUGGUUGGA